RNAcentral lists this ribosomal RNA (468 nucleotides) under uncultured bacterium. RNAcentral's name for it is "partial 16S ribosomal RNA". It matches the Rfam family "Bacterial small subunit ribosomal RNA", at positions 28 to 507 of the family's 1533-position model. The record is from RNAcentral.
GACGAACGCUGGCGGCGUGCUUAACACAUGCAAGUCGAACGGAAAGGCCCUGCUUUUGUGGGGUGCUCGAGUGGCGAACACGUGAGUAACACGUGAGUAACCUGCCCUGGACUUUGGGAUAACUUCAGGAAACUGGGGCUAAUAACGGAUAGGAGCUCCUGCUGCAUGGUGGGGGUUGGAAAGUUCCGGCGGUUGGGGGGGGACUCGCGGCGCAUCAGCUUGGUGGUGGGGUGGUGGCUUACCAAGGCGUUGACGGGUAGCCGGCCUGAGAGGCUGACCGGCCACAUCGGGACUGAGAUACGCCCCAGACUGCUACGGGAGGAAGUGGUGGGGAACAUUGCACAAUGGGCGGAAGCCUGAUGUAGGCACGCCGCGUGCGGGAUGCCGGCCUCCGGGUUGUAAACCGCUUUCGCCUGUGACGAAGCGUUAGUGACGGUAAUGGGUAAAGAAGCACCGGCUAACUACGUG